UACGUAGGGUGCGAGCGUUUAAUCGGAAUUACUGGGCGUAAAGUGUGCGCAGGCGGCUUCGCAAGUCGAGUGUGAAAUCCCCGAGCUUAACUUGGGAAUUGCGCUCGAAACUACGGAGCUGGAGUGUGGCAGAGGAAGGUGGAAUUCCACGUGUAGCGGUGAAAUGCGUAGAGAUGUGGAGGAACACCGAUGGCGAAGGCAGAUCUCUGGGCCGUAACUGACGCUGAGGAGCGAAAGCCAGGGGAGCAAACGGGG
This 255-nucleotide ribosomal RNA is filed under the name uncultured bacterium. RNAcentral's name for it is "partial 16S ribosomal RNA". It matches the Rfam family "Bacterial small subunit ribosomal RNA", at positions 524 to 777 of the family's 1533-position model. The record is from RNAcentral.